Molecule: long non-coding RNA, 908 nt
Organism: Sapajus apella (tufted capuchin)
Lineage: Eukaryota; Metazoa; Chordata; Mammalia; Primates; Cebidae
Exons: 3
Source: RefSeq, a predicted model, not a curated record
GCAGAAAUAAGCCGGCAGAUGCGAGCUUCUGAGCCGGAUGCAGCUCUUCCCAGACGUCGGCCCCUGACAACUACCCGGGGGUGCGGAGGGAGGAGCGAGGAAAGAGGGGCAGAUCGAGGCUGUCAGAAACAUGAUGCUCAUUUCUGCCACCCUUCCUAGAAAACUAUGGUUCCUGACAGAGACGUGUGGAAAGCUAGCCUCCAGGAAGUUGGGGGCAACAUCCACCAUCUCCUGGUUGAUCUGUGUAACCAACUUUCUCUCUCUCGGAUCACUCACUUUGGGAAAGCCAGCUGCCAUGUUGAGCAAAUCUAGAGAGCCACAUGGCAAAGAAUUGCAGACUGCUGACAACAACUAGCAAGAGACUGACAAUUCUUGCCAGUAGUCAUGUGAGUGAGCCAUCUUAAAAGCCAAUUAUCCAGUCCUUGUCAAGCCUUCAAGUGACUGCAGCACCAGCUGAUAGCUUGACUAAAACCUCAUGCUAGCCUCUGACCCAGGACCACUCAGCUAAGCUGCUCCCCACUCUUGACCCUUAGAAACUCUGUGAGACAGUAAAUGUUUGUUGCUUUAAGCUGCUAAGAUUUGAAGUAAUUUAUUAUACUGCAACAGAUAACUAAUAAAUGUACAUACCUUGCACCAGACAUUGUGCUAGAUGCUAGAAAUGUGUAAGAAAAAACAAGAUAGGUCUUAGCCUCAUGAAGCUUACUCUCUAAAGUUAGGAGAAUGAUAAAUACUUAGUGGUUUGUUGUUGUUUUAUCAUUAUUUUUUGAGCAUGAUAUUAUUAAUUUUCUUUAAGUAAAAGUCCAAAGUGGUAGCUCAUAAGAUAGGGUGAAAAUGGGAAUUCAGAGGUUUGGGCAUGUGAAUUUUAAUGUAAGAUACCACCACCUAACCACUAGAAUGACUUAAAAUUU